Molecule: transfer RNA, 71 nt
Filed under: Microcebus simmonsi (Simmons' mouse lemur)
Lineage: Eukaryota; Metazoa; Chordata; Mammalia; Primates; Cheirogaleidae
Description: tRNA-Arg
Rfam family: tRNA
About the family: Transfer RNA (tRNA) molecules are approximately 80 nucleotides in length. Their secondary structure includes four short double-helical elements and three loops (D, anti-codon, and T loops).
Source: RNAcentral
CAAUGGUAAUUAGUUUAAACUAAAACAACUGAUUUCGACUCACUAGAUUAUGAUAUAUCAUAAUUACCAAU